GGGGGGGGGGGGGGGGGGGGGGGGGGGGGGGGGGGCGGGCGGAGGGGCCCGGCGGUGGUGGGGGGCGCGGGGGGCGAACGGGGGAGUAACCCGUGGGGAACCUGCCCUUGACUUUGGGGUAACUUCAGGGAGCUGGGGCUAAUACCGGGUCGGAGCUCCUGCUGCAUGGUGGGGGUUUGAAAGUUUCGGCGGUUGGGGAUGGACUCGCGGCUUAUCAGCUUGUUGGUGGGGUAGUGGCUUACCAAGGCUUUGACGGGUAGCCGGCCUGAGAGGGUGACCGGCCACAUUGGGACUGAGAUACGGCCCAGACUCCUACGGGAGGCAGCAGUGGGGAAUAUUGCACAAUGGGCGGAAGCCUGAUGCAGCAACGCCGCGUGCGGGAUGACGGCCUUCGGGUUGUAAACCGCUUUCGCCUGUGACGAAGCGUGAGUGACGGUAAUGGGUAAAGAAGCACCGGCUAACUACGUG
RNAcentral lists this ribosomal RNA (468 nucleotides) under uncultured bacterium. RNAcentral describes it as "partial 16S ribosomal RNA". The stretch from base 49 to 468 matches the Rfam family "Bacterial small subunit ribosomal RNA", at positions 36 to 507 of the family's 1533-position model. The record is from RNAcentral.